GUGGGGAAUAUUGGGCAAUGGGCGCAAGCCUGACCCAGCAACGCCGCGUGAAGGAAGAAGGCUUUCGGGUUGUAAACUUCUUUUACCAGGGACGAAACAAAUGACGGUACCUGGUGAAUAAGCCACGGCUAACUACGUGCCAGCAGCCGCGGUAAUACGUAGGUGGCGAGCGUUAUCCGGAUUUAUUGGGUGUAAAGGGCGUGUAGGCGGGCCAGCAAGUCAGAUGUGAAAACCAGAGGCUCAACCUCUGGCCUGCAUUUGAAACUGUUGUUCUUGAGUGUCGGAGUGGUAAUCGGAAUUCCGUGUGUAGCGGUGAAAUGCGUAGAUAUACGGAGGAACACCAGUGGCGAAGGCGGAUUACUGGACGAUAACUGACGCUGAGGCGCGAAAGCGUGGGGAGCAAACAGGAUUAGAUACCCGGGUAGUCC
RNAcentral lists this ribosomal RNA (428 nucleotides) under uncultured bacterium. RNAcentral describes it as "partial 16S ribosomal RNA". It matches the Rfam family "Bacterial small subunit ribosomal RNA", at positions 354 to 796 of the family's 1533-position model. The record is from RNAcentral.